Molecule: ribosomal RNA, 200 nt
Filed under: uncultured bacterium
Lineage: Bacteria
Description: partial 16S ribosomal RNA
Rfam family: Bacterial small subunit ribosomal RNA
Source: RNAcentral
AGAGUUUGAUCCUGGCUCAGAACGAACGCUGGCGGCAUGCCUAAUACAUGCAAGUCGAACGCUUGCCGGAUUUCGGUCCGGUGGGAGUGGCGCACGGGUGAGUAGCGCGUGGGAACCUGCCCUGUUGUGGGGGAUAACCGAGGGAAACUUCGGCUAAUACCGCAUGCGCCCGGAGGUGACUCCGGGGAAAGAUUUAUCGC